This 209-nucleotide long non-coding RNA is filed under the name Elaeis guineensis (African oil palm). RNAcentral's name for it is "long non-coding RNA (EGUI_LNC063961)". The record is from RNAcentral. Lineage: Eukaryota; Viridiplantae; Streptophyta; Magnoliopsida; Arecales; Arecaceae.
UUGGUGUCUAAGAAGAGCAAUUGAAAAGUGAUUAUUUAAUUAGUUCUGUUAGCUGAUCUGGCCAAUCUAUUGGUGUCUAUAAAAAGCAACAAAGGGAUCCCAACCGAUCUCCACUUAUCUGGCCAAUUUGAAAGAUUGAGUCUAGAAUAAGGUUGCUUGGCAUUUUGAUUUAGUCUAUGCCAAUUAGAUCGGUCAUAUGAUGAUUGAUU